GGGCUUGUGGCGCAGCAUGGAUAGCGCGGUAGCCUCCGGAGUUACAGGUCGUGGGAUCGAAGCCCUCCAAGCCCG
Molecule: transfer RNA, 75 nt
Filed under: Candidatus Nitrosopumilus sp.
Lineage: Archaea; Thermoproteati; Nitrososphaerota; Nitrososphaeria; Nitrosopumilales; Nitrosopumilaceae
Description: Nitrosopumilus sp. tRNA-Arg
Rfam family: tRNA
About the family: Transfer RNA (tRNA) molecules are approximately 80 nucleotides in length. Their secondary structure includes four short double-helical elements and three loops (D, anti-codon, and T loops). Further hydrogen bonds mediate the characteristic L-shaped molecular structure. tRNAs have two regions of fundamental functional importance: the anti-codon, which is responsible for specific mRNA codon recognition, and the 3' end, to which the tRNAs corresponding amino acid is attached (by aminoacyl-tRNA synthetases). tRNAs cope with the degeneracy of the genetic code in two manners: having more than one tRNA (with a specific anti-codon) for a particular amino acid; and 'wobble' base-pairing, i.e. permitting non-standard base-pairing at the 3rd anti-codon position.
Source: RNAcentral